RNAcentral lists this long non-coding RNA (561 nucleotides) under Marmota monax (woodchuck). Lineage: Eukaryota; Metazoa; Chordata; Mammalia; Rodentia; Sciuridae. The record is from RNAcentral.
GGCUUUUGGAUAUGUGAAAGCCAUAGGUGAAAACAUUUUUGUAAUAUGUAUAUGUAUGUACAUAUAUAGAAUAUUGUAUACAUAGACCAAGGUUAUUGUAUACAGAUGUGAUUGCUUUUCACAUGAUAACCCCAGGUCCUUACCAGUAGAGAUGUCAUUUUGCUUCAAGAGCUUGUCUUGGUUUAUUUACUGCUUUGGGUCCUUUGGCUAUACAAUCCUUCUGUUUUUACCUUUGGCUUUUGGUAGGCCUUUCAAACUGUGCCAUAACUUGGUUCACAUCAUCUUGACUUAACUUUAAUAUGUCUCAGAUCAAAUAUCUAAUUAUAUGCUUUUUUGCCUCCUAUGAUCUUGCACUGCUGGCCUCCUGUCAACACCAGAUUUUAAAUUGAAUUCCUUUGGCAGCUAUGCCCCUGAAAUUUAUAGAUUUUUGACCUGGACUUUGGCCAUGGAUUUUUCAACAUCUGGGUUUUAAUUAAGAUUUUAAUUCUAUUUGUUUUCCUAGUGACUUUCAAUUGUAAAUUUACUACUUUGGAACACACUGGGGAAAGGGAGACAUGAAGA